GUCGAGCGCCCCGCAAGGGGAGCGGCGAACGGGUGAGUAACGCGUGAACAAUCUGCCUUAAAGUGGGGGAUAACCAUUCCAACGGAUGGCUAAUACCGCAUAGGAUUUGGGACUGGCAUCAGUCCUCUAUGAAAGCAUUUAUGCGCUUUAAGAUGAGUUCGCGUCCCAUUAGCUAGUUGGCGGGGUAACGGCCCACCAAGGCAACGAUGGGUAGCCGGCCUGAGAGGGUGUCCGGCCACAUUGGGACUGAGAUACGGCCCAGACUCCUACGGGAGGCAGCAGUAGG
This 286-nucleotide ribosomal RNA is filed under the name uncultured soil bacterium. Its description in RNAcentral is "partial 16S ribosomal RNA". It matches the Rfam family "Bacterial small subunit ribosomal RNA", at positions 61 to 358 of the family's 1533-position model. The record is from RNAcentral.